UACGGAGGGUGCAAGCGUUGCUCGGAAUUAUUGGGCGUAAAGGGUAGGUAGGUGGUCUUAUUUGUCUAGGGUGAAAUCCUUGAGCUUAACUCAAGAAGUGCCUCAGAAACGGUGAGACUAGAGUCCUAGAGAGGGUCGUGGAAUUCCCGGUGUAGCGGUGAAAUGCGUAGAGAUCGGGAGGAACACCAGAGGCGAAGGCGGCGACCUGGAUAGGAACUGACACUAAACUACGAAAGCGUGGGGAGCAAACAGG
Molecule: ribosomal RNA, 253 nt
Filed under: uncultured bacterium
Lineage: Bacteria
Description: partial 16S ribosomal RNA
Rfam family: Bacterial small subunit ribosomal RNA
Source: RNAcentral